AUGGUCGAAGGAGGUUCUGGGAUUUUACAUGGUAUGGCCAACAUAAUGUUUGAUGCUUCGAGAGAAAGGGUGGACAUAAAAUCUGAAUCUAAUGUCCUGGAGCAUACACUACUUGAUGAAAGCGUGGAGCUAACGAAUCUGCCGCUAGGACUUUUACAACACAUCACUGAGGAUUUUGCUGAUGCGCGACAAAUUGGUCGUGGUGGAUUCGGAAUCGUUUACAAGGGUGAUCUUCAAAACGGGAGCGUUGCUGUUAAAAGACUUCUGAACAGCCAUACAAUCGAAGAGGAGUCAUUUUAUCGCGAGGCUACUUUCCUGAUCAGUGUUAAACACAAAAAUAUAGUACGGUUACUAGGUUACUGUGCCAAUACAGAGAGUAAAGCGAUGAUAAAUCCAGAACCAGGGGAAACACCAAAGUUUAUUUUUGCAGAGAUAAGAGAAAGAUUACUUUGCUUCGAGUAUAUCAACAAAGGAAGCCUCGACAAAUAUCUUGCCGAUGAAUUAAGGGGACUUAAAUGGCAUACCCGUUACCAAAUUAUUAAAGGAAUUUGCAGCGGCUUGGAGUAUCUUCAUAAGGAAAAGGGUAUUAUUCACAGGGAUCUUAAACCUGCCAAUAUACUGCUUGAUGAUCUUAUGGUACCAAAAAUAACAGAUUUUGGUAUAUCAAAACUACUCGAUGGAGUAACACACAUUGUCACUAGUAACUCCGCAAUUUCACUUGGGUAUUGCGCUCCGGAAUUCAUAAAGCAUGGUCAGGUGUCAAUCAAGUCAGAUAUAUUCAGUUUGGGAGUUAUAAUUACAGAACUCGUAACUGGAUGUAAGGGCAACCUUGACAUUCAAAAUGUACUUAGAAGGUGGAGGUACAGGUGGAAUAAAUCAGUGAAUUAUCCACUAUUUGGAUACCAGCAGGUAACUAAAUGCAUUGAAAUAGCGCUAAAGUGCUUGUUAGACUCUCCAAAGAAGAGGCCUAAAAUAUCAGAUAUAGUCAGUAUGCUUAAUGCAUUGGAAAAUACGAAUGAGCACAUCAACAAUGUUGGUGACUCGCUAGUUGGCCCGAUAAGCCCUUACCCGUGGGAGCUGCUUGAGUUUGAUAGGCUUGAGCUGAAUUUUCCCUUCGAGAUAAACAAGCCGAUACCGUGUUCACUUCAGCUAACCAACAUAACCAAUGAUUAUGUUGCCUUUGAUGUCGAAAUGACAGGCUCACUGCAAUACUGCAUAGAGCUGGAGAAAUGUGUUGUGCCGCCACGAUCCAAGUGCAAUAUCAUGGUAACACUGCAAGCGCAAAAGAGGGCGCCACAUGCGACGGUGUGCAAGGACGAGUUCUUCAUUAUGCGGUGCGUCUCCGUGAAUGAGGGCCUCGGUGCUGAGGAUAUCAACAUAGACAUGUUCAAUGAGGAGUCGGGUAAAGAGGUCGAUGAGGUGACCUUGAAGGUUGUUGUUAUUACAGAAUUAUUGGUGAACUAA
This 1464-nucleotide ribosomal RNA is filed under the name Triticum aestivum (bread wheat). RNAcentral describes it as "partial small subunit ribosomal RNA". Lineage: Eukaryota; Viridiplantae; Streptophyta; Magnoliopsida; Poales; Poaceae. The record is from RNAcentral.